UCAAAAUAGUUGCCCUCAAGAAUUCUUAUACCAGUCUAAUUCUUUCACUUUGUUCUUUAAUCAUAUACUCUAUUCUCUUUCGAAAUACCAUUUAUUUUUGUUAUGUUGAUUCCCAAGUUGAAAUUUUUAUGUUUCCAAGGUUAAGAUCACAAUUCAUGCUUUCAGAAUAUUGGGUUUUACGAAGAAAUGUUUCCUUAAAUUUGAAUUUGAGAGAAGGUUGAUUAUUUGGAAAAUGAACCAAGGGAUUCCACUACAAAGGAGUCACAACAAGAUAAGAUUUUUUUUUCUCUCAUGAACCUCAUUCUGGUAAAUUGUAUUAUUUUACUGAAAUUUAUAUAGUUUAUUACCAACCAUUGAAGUACAUAUGAAUAUAUGUACUUUUUUAUUUGUUCUCAGGUCACAGCAAAUGAGACUGACAUGGUUACAAUUGUAGACCUUCCAGCCUGUUGAGGUCAAGGAAUUGUUGAAGGUUAGGAGCAGCAACAUGUCCAAGAAUAAUCCAAUUUUAAUUCCAUUCAGGAUGGUAUUUGGAAAGUCAUUUGUUAAAGGGUUUUAGUGUUUUUAAUUGAAGGUGCAUAAAAAAGAGCUUGAAAGGAUAAAAACAUGUGUUAGUGAAGACAGAUAAUAUAAAAAAGGCCCAUAUAACCUUCCAAUUAGAGCUAGGGGCAAAAAGGUCAUAAAAUGAAAAGAAAGCAAGGCCAUUGGGAUGUUCAUGAAAAAUAAGCAAAACUUUGAAGCCAACACCAAAAAGACAAUAUACAUAUAGAUCCAAAAGUCAUAGCAGCUAACGGAAAUCCCAAGGGUAAAAUGGUCAAAUCUUGGAACAAACGUGUGGGAAUUCUACAAAAAAGUUUGUUUUUUGUUUUUUAAUUUUUUUUUGGAUAUUUAUCUCUCAAAUAAAAUAGAUAGUUUCUCUAAUACAACUUAGAGUUAUUGAUUCUAAUUUGUUUUGAACGAGUGGUAAACUAAAAAACUUAGCUAAUGUAUUUGUAUAAACCGCAAGUUUGAAAUCUUCAUGUGUAGUUGAA
Lactuca sativa (garden lettuce) is the source of this 1028-nucleotide long non-coding RNA. RefSeq lists it as uncharacterized. The record is from RefSeq and is a predicted model, not a curated record. NCBI's taxonomy places the organism in Eukaryota, Viridiplantae, Streptophyta, Magnoliopsida, Asterales, Asteraceae.